CCUACGGGGGGCAGCAGUGGGGGAUAUUGCACAAUGGGGGAAACCCUGAUGCAGCGACGCCGCGUGUGGGAAGACGGUCUUCUGGAUUGUAAACCACUGUCCCCAGGGACGAAAAUGACGGUACCUGGGGAGGAAGCUCCGGCUAACUACGUGCCAGCAGCCGCGGUAAUACGUAGGGAGCAAGCGUUGUCCGGAAUUACUGGGUGAAAGGGUAGCGUAGGCGGGGAUGCAAGUUGGGUGUCAAAACUACCGGCUCAACCGAUAGUCGCACUCAAAACUGCAGCUCUUGAGUGAAGUAGAGGCAGGCGGAAUUCCUAGUGUAGCGGUGAAAUGCGUAGAUAUUAGGAGGAACACCAGUGGCGAAGGCGGCCUGCUGGGCUUUUACUGACGCUGAGGCUCGAAAGUGUGGGGAGCAAACAGGAUUAGAUACCCCGGUAGUC
This 440-nucleotide ribosomal RNA is filed under the name uncultured bacterium. Its description in RNAcentral is "partial 16S ribosomal RNA". It matches the Rfam family "Bacterial small subunit ribosomal RNA", at positions 338 to 795 of the family's 1533-position model. The record is from RNAcentral.